CGGUAAUACAGAGGGUGCAAGCGUUAAUCGGAAUUACUGGCGUAAGCGAGCGUAGUGCUGAUAAGUCAGAUGUGAAUCCCGGGCUUAACCUGGGAACUGCAUCUGAAACUGUUAGCUAGAGUAGGUGAGAGGGAAGUAGAAUUUCAGGUGUAGCGGUGAAAUGCGUAGAGAUCUGAAGGAAUACCGAUGGCGAAGGCAGCUUCCUGGCAUCAUACUGACACUGAGGCUCGAAAGCGUGGGUAGCAAACAGGAUUAGAUACCUGGUAGUCCACGCCGUAAACGAUGUCUACUAGUCGUUGGGUCCCUUGAGGACUUAGUGACGCAGCUAACGCAAUAAGUAGACCGCCUGGGGAGUACGGCCGCAAGGUUAAAACUCAAAUGAAUUGACGGGGGCCCGCACAAGCGGUGGAGCAUGUGGUUUAAUUCGAUGCAACGCGAAGAACCUUACCUGGUCUUGACAUAUCUAGAAUCCUGCAGAGAUGCGGGAGUGCCUUCGGGAAUUAGAAUACAGGUGCUGCAUGGCUGUCGUCAGCUCGUGUCGUGAGAUGUUGGGUUAAGUCCCGCAACGAGCGCAACCCUUGUCCUUAGUUACCAGCGGGUUAAGCCGGGAACUCUAAGGAUACUGCCAGUGACAAACUGGAGGAAGGCGGGGACGACGUCAAGUCAUCAUGGCCCUUACGACCAGGGCUACACACGUGCUACAAUGGUAGGUACAGAGGGCAGCUACACAGCGAUGUGAUGCGAAUCUCAAAAAGCCUAUCGUAGUCCAGAUUGGAGUCUGCAACUCGACUCCAUGAAGUAGGAAUCGCUAGUAAUCGCGGAUCAGAAUGCCGCGGUGAAUACGUUCCCGGGCCUUGUACACACCGCCCGUCACACCAUGGGAGUUGAUUGCACCAGAAGUGGAUAGCUUAACCUUCGUGGAGGCGUACACCAUAGAGUGAUGAGU
Molecule: ribosomal RNA, 946 nt
Filed under: bacterium 21F07-Zb2-5
Lineage: Bacteria
Description: bacterial SSU rRNA
Rfam family: Bacterial small subunit ribosomal RNA
Source: RNAcentral